Molecule: RNA transcript, 2033 nt
Organism: Vicia villosa (hairy vetch)
Lineage: Eukaryota; Viridiplantae; Streptophyta; Magnoliopsida; Fabales; Fabaceae
Gene name: transcription initiation factor TFIID subunit 8-like
Exons: 3
Source: RefSeq, a predicted model, not a curated record
UACACACACUUCAAUUUCCCCAAAUUAAAUCUCAAAAUCGCAUCGUGUUCAAAAGCACAAUCAUUCUCCAAAAUUCAUCUUCUCCCAUUCUCUUCUACCUUUCGAAUUGUCUCUUUCAAUCCAAGGGUUUAACCAAACCCUAACCCUAACCCUAAAAUCCCCAAUUUUUCUCUCUCGAUCUUACUCUCACUUUCUCAAUCUCAGUAAUUUCAAACCGAUUCUAUAUCACUGCAUGCUCUUAGAUCUAAUCAUUGUCUCCCAAUCACUGAAGUGAUCUUGGUGAAGUUUAUUAAUUAGGGUGAUUUUGGGGAUGAUGAAUGAUAGGGAUUUGGGAAAUUUUGAUUGGGUUUUAAAGUGAUAUGAAGUGCUGAAUAUGAGCAAUGGCAGUGGGAAGACUGGAAAACAGCUUGAACAGCAGCCUAACACCACGACGAGGAGGAGGAAAGUCGGUGGCAGUGAUGAAUUUGCGCAAUCUAUUGCGAAGAUUGCAGUAGCGCAAGUAUGCGAGAGUAAGGGUUUUCAGGGGUUUCAGCAGUCUGCGCUUGAGACGUUAUCGGAUGUUACUGCUCGGUAUAUUAUGAAUAUUGGGAAGUCUGCGGGUUGUUAUGCGAAUCUUGCUGGUAGGAAUGAAUGUAAUAUUUUUGAUGUUAUUCAAGGGUUGGAAGAUGUGGGGUUAAUGCAGGGUUUUACAGGGGCUUCGGAUAUUGAUCAUUGUCUUGAAGAUUCGGGUGUUGUUAGGGAGAUUGUUCAGUUUGUUAAUGAGGUUGAACCGGUUAUGUUUGCACACCCGAUUCCUCCGUUUCCGUUUGUGAAAGAGCGGGUGUUGCCUCUGAGUUUUUUGCAAAAAGGGGAAGAGCCUCCUGAUGAGCAUAUUCCGGCAUGGCUGCCUGCAUUUCCUGAUCCGGAAACUUAUUCGCAGUCAACUAUGGUGAAUGGAAGAGGGACAGAACCAGGUGUUUCUAAAUUUGAGCAGGAAAGAGAGAAUGGAAAGGCGGAUCGGCCGCUGUUGAAUUCGCAGCAGAAGAUGGUCUCGAAUAUGUUUGAAAACAGCACCAUGAUUGACCCUGCAAUUGCUAAAGCAAAGACAGUAGCAGCAGAAAGUAACCCUUUCCUUGCCGCGCCGUUGAAAAUUGAGGAUAAAGAAGUUGCUUCUGUUGCCCCUCCGGCUAAAUUCUUUAAUAAUAUUGUAGCUUCUGAUGUUCCUAUUGUAGAAAAUUUUAUUGAAAAAGAACCCAUUUCGGUAUUGGAGACAUUUGCUCCAGCAAUUGAAGCGAUAAACAGCACAUGCGAUGAUUCCAAGGAAGAUCAACCUAAAUUUCCUGUGAAAGAGAAGCCUACUGUACGUUUUAAGGUUGGGACUAGAAAUAAAUUAUUUGGAAGGUCAAUUGGUUUGAUUCCACAAAAAGAGGAGCAUAAAAGGACUUUGCCCUGGUUUGCAAUGGAAGACGAGAAGGAUGAUAGGAAAAGAAGGGCCGAGAAAAUUUUAAGGGAAUCUUUGGAAAACCCAGAUCAGCUUGUUCAGUUGUAAAAUAGAUUGCUUUAUUAGAAUCUGUAUACUAAUGAGAAUAUCGGGAUAUUGAAAUCUGGCUAACUGUCUGGUUACGUGCAUUAUAGGAUGGAUGUUACUAUUUAGCUCAGACAUUUUUCUAGUUUAACAAUUUUUCAGUUUUCCAGUAGUACUGAUAAAUCAUUUGCAUUCAUCAAGUUUCAGGAGAAAUUCUCAUGCUUUAAGGAAGUUGUUGUAUAAAAGUGUAUCCUCUUUAAAUUACUAGUUGACAUGAAAUGUAUACAGAGCACCAAUCCUCUGACUCCAGCGUGUAUCGGGAAAUUAAGUAAGCUUAAUGACACAUUCUAAAUUGGAGCUAUUUGUUGUUUAUGAUUUGUGUAUCGGGAAAAAUUGAGAUUCAUGGCUAAGACGUGUGUCAAGCUACCGCUCCAGUUGGUAGCUUCCCCCGAAUACAUGAGAUUGGCCAUUUCAACUCAGUUCCAAAUAUAAUUGAAGUGUGUUAGUAAACUCGACGAAUUUUGUGAUA